GGCUCGAUUUUCUAGGGGUAUGCUUCUCGCUUUGGGUGCGAGAGGUCCCGGGUUCAAAUCCCGGACGAGCCC
Molecule: transfer RNA, 72 nt
Filed under: Dreissena polymorpha
Lineage: Eukaryota; Metazoa; Mollusca; Bivalvia; Myida; Dreissenidae
Rfam family: tRNA
About the family: Transfer RNA (tRNA) molecules are approximately 80 nucleotides in length.
Source: Rfam by way of RNAcentral